GUGUGAGGGAGGAAGAAAACCUGAAAAAGACCCCAAAGAAGAAGAUGAAAAUGGUAACUGGAGCCGUAGCGUCGGUGCUGGAAGACGAGGCCACAGACACUUCUGAUAGCGAAGGAAGCUGUGGAUCGGAAAAGGACCACUUUUAUUCUGAUGAUGACGCAAUAGAAGCUGACAGUGAGGGUGAUGCUGAGCCCUGUGACAAAGAAAAUGAAAAUGAUGGAGAAUCAAGUGUUGGGACUAAUAUGGGCUGGGCAGAUGCCAUGGCUAAAGUCCUCAACAAGAAAACUCCUGAAAGUAAACCUACUAUUCUGGUCAAAAAUAAGAAGCUGGAAAAGGAAAAAGAAAAGUUAAAGCAAGAAAGACUAGAGAAAAUAAAACAGGUGUGUUCCACCAGUUGUCUUGUAGAUUAGAUUGUUUGUCUAGGCUAGCUCUUAUCUUGACCGAACUGUUUCUUGCAGUGUUUGACCAAUUAACGUUCCAGUUUUUAACUUG
Molecule: small RNA, 492 nt
Filed under: Pongo abelii (Sumatran orangutan)
Lineage: Eukaryota; Metazoa; Chordata; Mammalia; Primates; Hominidae
Description: processed transcript
Source: RNAcentral